RNAcentral lists this ribosomal RNA (1690 nucleotides) under Bythites fuscus (Arctic brotula). Its description in RNAcentral is "16S rRNA". It matches the Rfam family "Bacterial large subunit ribosomal RNA". The record is from RNAcentral. Lineage: Eukaryota; Metazoa; Chordata; Actinopteri; Ophidiiformes; Bythitidae.
CGCCCAACAGCUAGCCUAAAACCACAUAAACAACCACCAACUGUAAAUACCCCUUCAAAACCUAAACACCCCACAAUUAAACCAUUCUCCCACCCCAGUACGGGCGACAGAACAGGAACUAAAAGAGCAAUAGAAAAAGUACCGUAAGGGAACACUGAAAGAGAAAUGAAACAACUCAGUUAAGCCCAAAGAAGCAGAGCUCAAUACUCGUACCUUUUGCAUCAUGAUUUAGCCAGCACCCUUCAAACAAAGAGCCCUAUAGUUUGACACCCCGAAACUAGACGAGCUACUCCAAGACAGCCCGCUUAAUGGGGCAAACCCGUUUCUGUGGCAAAAGAAUGGGAAGAGCUUCGAGUAGAGGUGACAAACCUACCGAGUCUAGUUAUAGCUGGUUACCCAGGAAACGAAUAGAAGUUCAGCCUCCCAGAUUCUUCCCUCAGACACACCAAAAUGCACCCGACACUGAGAAACCUGCGAGAGUAAUUCAAAGGGGGUACAGCCCCUUUGACCCAAGACACAACUUUUUUAGGAGGAUAAAGAUCAUAACAUCUAAGGUACUAUAUUUCGGUGGGCCUAAAAGCAGCCACCCGUAUAAAAAGCGUUAAAGCUCAAAUAUAAUUGAACCCACAUAUCCCGACAACCUUAUCUAAAUCCCCUACUCCCCCUACUGGGUCCCCCCAUACACCGACCUAUGAGGAAGACUAUGCUAAUAUGAGUAAUAAGAGAAUUUCCUCUCCUUGCACAAGUGUACAUCGGAACGGACCCCCCACCGACCCCUACCCGGCCCCAACCCCAGAGGGCACUGAAUAAGAAUUAGACAACAAGAAAACCAUUCAAGACAAAGCCGUUAACCCCACACUGGAGUGCCCACAAGGACAGACCAAAGGGGGAAGGAGGAACUCAGCAAACACAAGCCUCGCCUGUUUACCAAAAACACCGCCUCUUGCAAAUUUAAAGAAUAAGAGGUCCCGCCUGCCCUGUGACAUACGUUUAACGGCCGCAGUAUUUUGACCGUGCAAAGGUAGCGCAAUCAUUUGUCUCUUAAAUGGGGACCUGUAUGAAUGGCACAACGAGGGCUUAACUGUCUCCUUCCCCCGGUCAAUGAAAUUGAUCUUCCCGUGCAGAAGCGGGAAUUAAAACAUAAGACGAGAAGACCCUAUGGAGCUUUAGAUACUAAAACAGACCAUGUUAAAAACCCCUAAAUAAAGGAAUAAACUAAAUGGACCCCGUUCUAAUGUCUUUGGUUGGGGCGACCGCGGGGAAAUACAAAACCCCCAUGUGGAAUGGGAACACCCCCCUCCUAAAACCAAGAGCAACAGCUCUAAGUAACAGAACAUCUGACCUAUCAGAUCCGGCAAAGCCGAUCAACGGACCGAGUUACCCUAGGGAUAACAGCGCAAUCCCCUUCGAGAGCCCAUAUCAACAAGGGGGUUUACGACCUCGAUGUUGGAUCAGGACAUCCUAAUGGUGCAGCCGCUAUUAAGGGUUCGUUUGUUCAACGAUUAAAGUCCUACGUGAUCUGAGUUCAGACCGGAGUAAUCCAGGUCAGUUUCUAUCUAUGAAGUGACCUUUUCUAGUACGAAAGGACCGAAAAGGAGAGGCCCAUACUAAAGGUACGCCUCCACCCCCACCUGCUGAAAACAACUAAAAUUGGCAAAGGGCACACCCUUUCAGCCUAAGAAAAUGGCAU